Molecule: ribosomal RNA, 253 nt
Filed under: uncultured bacterium
Lineage: Bacteria
Description: partial 16S ribosomal RNA
Rfam family: Bacterial small subunit ribosomal RNA
Source: RNAcentral
UACGUAGGGGGCAAGCGUUGUCCGGAUUUACUGGGCGUAAAGAGCGCGCAGGCGGUCGAUCAAGUCGAGUGUGAAAGCCCCCGGCUCAACUGGGGAGGGUCAUUCGAUACUGAUCGACUCGAAGGCAGGAGAGGGUAGUGGAAUUCCCGGUGUAGUGGUGAAAUGCGUAGAUAUCGGGAGGAACACCAGUGGCGAAGGCGACUACCUGGCCUGUUCUUGACGCUGAGGCGCGAAAGCUAGGGGAGCAAACGGG